RNAcentral lists this long non-coding RNA (1673 nucleotides) under Salvia miltiorrhiza (redroot sage). RNAcentral's name for it is "long non-coding RNA (SMIL_LNC002167)". Lineage: Eukaryota; Viridiplantae; Streptophyta; Magnoliopsida; Lamiales; Lamiaceae. The record is from RNAcentral.
UAACUCUGAAUCGGAAUAGCAGUGCUAGUCCUCACGAUCCACAAAGCCUACAAGAAAUCUAUAAUCUUAAUAGGUCUCCUGAAUCUAAUCUUAAGUUAUAGUGUAGUGCUUAUCAUCCUAUGAUUCACUUAGCCGGGUUUUCAAAAUUUAAUAAAUAUUUGAAAACUAAAAUUCUUGAGUUAAGGAUACCAACAAUAUCAUUACUCGAUUUUAUUUAAUAAUUGGAUUUAAUGAAAACCAAUUUAAAUCAUGAGUACUUUUAUUUGCAAAAAUGAAUAUGCAAAUUCAUUUCAUGCUUAAUCAUAUAAUAAGUAAUUAUACUUAAUAUAUGCACAUAAUAAUAAUAUUAUUAUGCAAUCAUUCUUUAAAAUAAUUUAUCAAACUUAAAUUAGAGUCUAAUUAAAUAAAAUAGGGCAGUCCAACCCAUUGAAUCAAACUGCAGCCCAACCACUUAAUAAAUAUGCAGAAGCCCAUAAAUGAAUUAAAUCAGCCCAAGACAUAUAAAAUAAACAUGGCCCAAAGAGAUUAAAACAAAAGCCCAACUGACUCGGCCCAGAUGAUUUAAUUCGGCCCAAAAAUAGGAGCCCAAAACCCAAAUCUUCCUUAUUUCUCCCCCCUCCUCAGCCGCACACACACACACAAUCACAUAUCUCACUCUUAUCUCUCUUCACGCCAAAUCCGCCUCUCUCUCUGCUCCCUCGAAUUUCCGCCGCCGCGGCUCCUCCUUGGCGACGACGGAACGCCGCCGCCUCCCUUGGCCUCUCCCUCUCUUGGUCCGUUUCCGGCGACAGACAUCACCAUCUCCCUCUUCCUCACCAAAUCGCGCCGCCGCCUCCUCUCUGGAACUCCGGCGAGUCAGCAGCGAGAGGCCACUGCCGCCGCGCCCCCUCUCUCCAAUUUCAGGCGACGAUGACGACUCCUCGCCGCCACCGUGCCCUAGCCUCCCUUGCUCAACCUUGGCCGACGGCAGCAGCUUUCUGCCACUACCAUUGCCGCCCUCUAUCUCUCCUCUCUUUCUCCAGCCGUGGCCGGGCAGCAGCGGCACCGCCGUCGUGCCCUGCCUCCCUCCGAAAGCUCAACCACCGCCCCCAUUAACAGAUCCGGCGGGCGCGGUCAGUGGCUCCACGCCACCACCGUCAGCACCCCAUUCUCUCUCUAAAACUUCCGGUGACAGACGACGGGGUCGCCGCCGAUGGUAACAACAGUCGCACCGCCGUCAUCCCUUAUCCCCCCCCUGACUCGACUCAAUACAGCAAGAUCGAAGGCAGGGAAACAAAAUCAGAACUUCCAUUUCUAUCUUUGACUUUCUUUUCUUUUUACAGACAUGCUUGAAUGUAAAUAUAUACACGUAUAUAAACAGAGUGCAAAUGUAAUGUAUGUAUGGGUGUUUUCCUUGUUAGGCAGUUGAAAUUCUUAUGACAUGAUCUGGGUUUCUUAGACAUAGUGUAAAAUGAGGUAAGUAGGGAGCUUUAAAAGAAUGGCACCUUUAGGAAUUUCGUAUGAAAUCUGGAAUGGUUGGCUGCGUGAAUCUGUCGGACUGCUCGCUCUUGAAGUUCUGUCCGAGCGUUGGAACGGAAAAGAGAAAGUGCGUGAGUUGAGAGAAAAUAGUUUGGCUAUCGCAUGAGUGGACUUUAAAGAGGAGUUAGGCUUUGGCUGCUGAAAUGAGAAAGGAA